Molecule: non-coding RNA, 46 nt
Organism: Saprolegnia diclina VS20
Lineage: Eukaryota; Oomycota; Saprolegniomycetes; Saprolegniales; Saprolegniaceae
Source: Rfam
UCACCGGUGUUUUUAAACACCACCCGUGGAUGUAAGAAGGCGCUCG